This is a long non-coding RNA of Felis catus (domestic cat), 741 nucleotides long. RefSeq lists it as uncharacterized. The record is from RefSeq and is a predicted model, not a curated record. The transcript is spliced from 2 exons. Lineage: Eukaryota; Metazoa; Chordata; Mammalia; Carnivora; Felidae.
CUGAGUUUUCUGGUGCCUGGGUGGGCAAGCACAAAUCAGAUCAGGCCUCUCCACAGGGGCAGCAGCGUUUCUCUGCCGUUGCCCAGACUUGGUGAGGGGCCCUGGAGGGUACUUCGUGGUCGAUGUGACUGCAGAUGGGCUUGAGGUUUAACCAAGAUUGCAAUGCGCAGGAGGGAAAGCUGCGUAUCCGAAAACCUCGUCUCCGGCUACGUCAGUCCACCUAUAUUCGUGUGCUGUUUACAGUAUAAUUUAUGGAAGAAGUGGUAUUCAGGCAUGCUGGUGGUGAUGAUGAAUUUGGUGUCUUUAACGCCUAAAGCAGGCAAUUGGCCAAACCAUUCCUCCUUUUUAUUCUGGGGGGAGUUUUCCAGCCACCAUUCUUGAGUCAAGGACACGUUUGCCACUUCCGUAGGAUCUUGCUGUACUGAUCACACCGGUUUAAUUCGAUGGACUACUGCCCCCUUCCCUACAAAAGCCCUGUAGUAGGAAAAGCCACAGUGGAAGAACUUACCAUCUUGAAGGGGAAGCAUGGAGUUGGACCACCCAGUGAAUCUACAAAGCAAGGAGACCUACAGUGAUUACCUACUGUGAUACUUAUUUGCCAAACUAAAGCCACUGAAGCCACAAAGACAUCUUGGGUUCUUCCCUACGGCUCCACUGAUUGUCAUGAAAUGCUUUGUUUCAAUGAGAUCAUGCUUGUUUGUCCUAAGAGGCUCCCGGUCCUACCACAGCCGCUUCCAUUCA